AACAUCGCGCACCUGCGGGAACCUGCGGAGGGAUCAUUAAUGAUUGGUGGCUGUUGCUGACUAGUGUUUCUAGUAUGUGCACGCCACACCUUCAAUCCCACUCACACCUGUGCACCUUCUGUAAUAGAUCUAUGUGGAUACGGAGAUAUGAAAGUUUGCGCUCUCGUACUCUGUUGAAGCAGUCUACUACGUUUUUUUACACACACACAAUAGUCAUUGAAUGUAUUUUUUAUUCUUAUG
Molecule: unclassified non-coding RNA, 240 nt
Filed under: soil metagenome
Description: partial contains 5.8S ribosomal RNA, internal transcribed spacer 2, and large subunit ribosomal RNA
Source: RNAcentral